CAUCCACUCCGUCCCAAAAUUCUUGUCUUAGAUUUGCGUAGAUACGGAUGUAUCUAAUACUAAAACGUGACUUCAUACAUCCGUAUUUAGACAAAUCUAAGGCAAGAAUUUUGGGACAAAGGGAGUAGCAC
Triticum aestivum (bread wheat) is the source of this 131-nucleotide non-coding RNA. Lineage: Eukaryota; Viridiplantae; Streptophyta; Magnoliopsida; Poales; Poaceae. The record is from Rfam.